UACAGAGGGUGCGAGCGUUAAUCGGAAUUACUGGGCGUAAAGCGUGCGUAGACGGUUAUUUAAGUCGGGUGUGAAAGCCCCGGGCUCAACCUGGGAAUUGCAUUCGAGACUGAAUAGCUAGGGUACGGUAGAGGGAAGUGGAAUUUCCGGUGUAGCGGUGAAAUGCGUAGAUAUCGGAAGGAACAUCAGUGGCGAAAGCGGCACUCUGGGCCGGAACUGACGCUGAGGAGCGAAAGCGUGGGGAGCGAACAGG
RNAcentral lists this ribosomal RNA (253 nucleotides) under uncultured bacterium. RNAcentral's name for it is "partial 16S ribosomal RNA". It matches the Rfam family "Bacterial small subunit ribosomal RNA", at positions 524 to 776 of the family's 1533-position model. The record is from RNAcentral.